UUAUAUGGUCAAGAAGAGAAGCGCAAACGGUGGAUGCCUUGGCAGUAAGAGGCGAAGAAGGACGUGGAAUCCUGCGAAAAGCUAUGGGGAGCUGGAAACGAGCGUUGAGCCAUAGAUGUCCGAAUGGGGGAACCCGGCUGCAGCGAUGCGGUCAUUUGCAUUUGAAUACAUAGGAUGCAAAGGCGAACUCGGGGAACUGAAACAUCUAAGUACCCGAAGGAAAAGAAAUCAAGAGAGAUUCUCCAAGUAGCGGCGAGCGAACGGGGAGGAGCCUGGCGUGAUUUAUUAUUGAACUGAGUA
Molecule: ribosomal RNA, 300 nt
Filed under: Legionella pneumophila
Lineage: Bacteria; Pseudomonadati; Pseudomonadota; Gammaproteobacteria; Legionellales; Legionellaceae
Description: partial 23S ribosomal RNA
Rfam family: Bacterial large subunit ribosomal RNA
Source: RNAcentral